CAGCCGCCGCGGUAAUGCGUAGGUGGCAAGCGUUGUCCGGAUUUAUUGGGCGUAAAGCGAGCGCAGGCGGUUAGAUAAGUCUGAAGUUAAAGGCUGUGGCUUAACCAUAGUACGCUUUGGAAACUGUUUAACUUGAGUGCAGAAGAGGAGAGUGGAAUUCCACGUGUAGCGGUGAAAUGCGUAGAGAUGUGGAGGAACACCAGUGGCGAAGGCGACUCUCUGGUCUGUAACUGACGCUGAGGAGCGAAAGCGUGGGGAGCGAACAGGAUUAGAUACCCCGGUAGUCCCUGUCUCUUAUACC
This 301-nucleotide ribosomal RNA is filed under the name uncultured bacterium. Its description in RNAcentral is "partial 16S ribosomal RNA". It matches the Rfam family "Bacterial small subunit ribosomal RNA", at positions 509 to 808 of the family's 1533-position model. The record is from RNAcentral.